RNAcentral lists this ribosomal RNA (253 nucleotides) under uncultured bacterium. RNAcentral's name for it is "partial 16S ribosomal RNA". It matches the Rfam family "Bacterial small subunit ribosomal RNA", at positions 524 to 776 of the family's 1533-position model. The record is from RNAcentral.
UACGUAGGCAGCAAGCGUUGUUCGGAGUUACUGGGCGUAAAGGGUGCGUAGGCGGCUUUUUAAGUUUGGUGUGAAAUCUCCCGGCUCAACUGGGAGGGUGCGCCGAAUACUGAGAGGCUAGAGUGUGGGAGAGGAAAGCGGAAUUCCUGGUGUAGCGGUGAAAUGCGUAGAUAUCAGGAGGAACACCGGUGGUGUAAAUGGCUUUCUGGACCAUAACUGACGCUGAGGCACGAAAGCGUGGGUAGCAAACAGG